This 924-nucleotide ribosomal RNA is filed under the name Triticum aestivum (bread wheat). Its description in RNAcentral is "partial small subunit ribosomal RNA". Lineage: Eukaryota; Viridiplantae; Streptophyta; Magnoliopsida; Poales; Poaceae. The record is from RNAcentral.
AUGGCGCAGGACGAUCCGGUUGUUUCUGCGCAAUGGCUGCAGCAGCACCUAGGGCAGCUUGAUAUCAAGGUAUUGGAUGCUUCCUGGUACAUGCCACAAGAGAGCAGGGACCCAUGGCAAGAAUACCAGGUGGCCCAUAUUCCUGGUGCGCUGUUCUUCGACAUCGAUGGAAUCGUCAAUCGGGCGACUGAUUUGCCACACAUGCUGCCAUCAGAAGAGGCUUUUGCAGCAGCAGUUUCCGCACUUGGUAUCAAUAACCAUGAUAAAGUUGUUGUUUAUGAUGGAAAGGGCUUCUUCAGUGCGCCUCGUGUUUGGUGGAUGUUCAGAGUUCUUGGACAUGAUAAAGUUUGGGUCUUAGAUGGAGGUUUCCCUCAGUGGCAAGCUUCUGGAUUCAACAUUGCAAGCAGCUGCCCUGAUGAUGCAGUUCUGAAAUCCAAAGCGGCAAAUAGUGCUGUUGAAACAGCUUAUAAUGGUAAAUUGGCAAAUGCUGCCACAUUUCAAACAGAGUUUCGACCUCAGCUAUUCUGGACACUAGAAAAGGUCAAACAAAAUGUAGCUGCUAAGGCUCAUCAAGUAGUUGAUGCCCGAGCAAAGGGCAGAUUUGAUGGUGUAAUGCCAGAACCAAGGGAAGGAGUAAGAAGUGGGCAUAUACCUGGAACUAAAUGUGUUCCGUUCCCUGAGAUGUUUGAUGGUGCACAAACGCUCCUCCCUGCAGAUGAGCUAUCGAAAAAGUUUGAGCAAGAAGGCAUUUUGCUUGAUCACCCGAUUGUCGUCACAUGUGGAUCUGGUGUAACUGCCUGCAUACUUGCCCUGGGCUUCUAUAGAAUUGGUAAGCAUGAUGUUCCAGUUUACGACGGAUCUUGGACAGAAUGGGAAGCGCAGCCCGAUGAUGAUUACCCAAAAGUUGCUUCAACUGCCCCUUAA